RNAcentral lists this ribosomal RNA (501 nucleotides) under uncultured bacterium. RNAcentral's name for it is "partial 16S ribosomal RNA". It matches the Rfam family "Bacterial small subunit ribosomal RNA", at positions 30 to 523 of the family's 1533-position model. The record is from RNAcentral.
AUUGAACGCUGGCGGCAGGCUUAACACAUGCAAGUCGAGCGGGGGAAGGUAGCUUGCUACCGGACCUAGCGGCGGACGGGUGAGUAGUGCUUAGGAAUCUGCCUAUUAGUGGGGGACAACGUCUCGAAAGGGAUGCUAAUACCGCAUACGUCCUACGGGAGAAAGCAGGGGAUCUUCGGACCUUGCGCUAAUAGAUGAGCCUAAGUCGGAUUAGCUAGUUGGUGGGGUAAAGGCCUACCAAGGCGACGAUCUGUAGCGGGUCUGAGAGGAUGAUCCGCCACACUGGGACUGAGACACGGCCCAGACUCCUACGGGAGGCAGCAGUGGGGAAUAUUGGACAAUGGGGGGAACCCUGAUCCAGCCAUGCCGCGUGUGUGAAGAAGGCCUUAUGGUUGUAAAGCACUUUAAGCGAGGAGGAGGCUACUUUAGUUAAUACCUAGAGAUAGUGGACGUUACUCGCAGAAUAAGCACCGGCUAACUCUGUGCCAGCCGCCGCCGUAA